Molecule: long non-coding RNA, 7054 nt
Organism: Mustela lutreola (European mink)
Lineage: Eukaryota; Metazoa; Chordata; Mammalia; Carnivora; Mustelidae
Exons: 7
Source: RefSeq, a predicted model, not a curated record
GGGGCGUCCAGGAGCUGGAGGCGGGGAACGGACGAGCGGGGAGGAGAAGGCGGGGACGCACCUGUGCAGAGGGAGGGAGCGGUGCGGCGGUGGCGAAGAGCUGGUGGCCGGUAACGGACUAGCCGGGAGGAGAAGGCGGGGACGCACCUCUGCAGAGGGAGGGAGCGGCGCAGGGCGGCGAGGAGCAGCUGGAGGCCAAGAACGGAGGAGCGAGGAGGAGAAGGCAGGGACGCACUUGCGCAGUGGGAGGGAGCGGCGCUGAGAGGUGGCGGCGGGGAGCUAGAACUCUGCUCCUGGCUGCUAGUGCUGGGAAAGUGCGUCUACCCUUAAGAGGGCUAUCUCACCCCUCUAAGUCUUAAAAAGUAACUCAUCCUACCGAGCUAGCAGGGGUUUAGUGAAGAUUAGAGGCGUUUACCAUGUGUAUCUGGUGCAUAAAUUAUUCAGUACCUCUCUCAAGAUUCUCUUCCCCGGUGUACCCCUGGCGCUUUUCUUGAGAAACCAGCUGGAGAGUUUCUGCCCAGUCAGCUGAGCUGAGAGACUGCUGUCUGAGGUACUCACUCAUGCUGCCUGGAGCCAGGCUUUUGUCCUGGUCCUUCGACCAAAUUUUAGACGCAAGCCAAGAGAAGGGAUGCUGUGUUUGGAUUUCAUCUCUGUACCCGCUAUCUGUGACCAGCAUGGUUAUUCUCGAAUGAGAAAAGCAGCAAGCUAGCAAUUCGUUAUUAAUACUAAAAACCGUUCAUGUGUAAAAAACUGUCCGUAUACCAAACUUGAAGAAAGCACGUUCUCAUCUCCUGCAACCUCCCAUAUACACUUCACGCAACUUCCCCCAAUGUUAACAUUUUACAGAGCCAUGGUACUGUUAUCAAAACUGAGGAAGCAACUCGGGCGCAAUUGUAUUAACGAAAUUACAGAGUUUGUUCAGAUUCCGUCAGUUUUUCCACGAAUGCCCUUUUACUGAUCCAGGAUUCUGUCCAGAUACCACGAUACAUUUAAUCAUCAUGUCUGCUCCAACCUGUAAGUUUUUUGGUCUUUCCUUGUCUUUCAUGGCAUUCACAUGAUUGAAGAAUAGUGGUCAGGUAUUGUGAAAAGUGCCUCUGAAUUGACGUUUGUCUAAUGUUUUCUCCUUAUUGGACUGAGGUAUAUAUUUUUAGGAAGAAUACCCUUGGAAGGAUGUGCCCUACCUGUGUAUCAGGUGACACGUGAUAUCAACGUGAUUCGUCAUACUAACCUUUAGUACUUGGUUAAGGUGGUAUCAGCGGGGUUUCUGCACUAUAUAUUUAGGAUUUUUCCAUAUCUAGUCUACACUUAAGAGUGGAUUGGCUAAGGCCAGUGCACACCCAGGAACAGAGGAAAUUCGCUUAGCUCCUUUUCGAAUUUAUGGUCAUAUUUUAAAACCACCAGGUGUAUUAGUAAAUUUGAGGAGAAACUCUCUGAGGCUACCCAAGUAUCCUGUUUAUAUUUAUAGUUUUGGCCACUAAUUUUCACUUUCAUUGUUGGGUCUUGCCUGCAAACGCUUUUACUGUGGUGUUCUAAAAGGAGAUUUUUCUGUUUUACUUAUAUGUUUCUUGGGAUCUUCUGUAAAGGAAAGAUUUUCAUUUUCCUCAUUUAUUUCAUCAUUUGUUUAUGUCAGUAUGGGCUCAUGGAUAAUCUAAUUCAUUCCCUGUGGUCAUUACUCAACCCUGCCUUUUUCACCCAACCCUUUGAUCUGUUUUAUGUUUUACAAUGUCAACUGCAUUUUAUAAUAUGUAUCUCCUGAGUUUGGCUUUUUUCACUUAGCAAAAUUCAUUGAAGACUCAUUUGUGUUAAAAAAAAAAAAAAAGAUACAUUCAUGUUCUUGGUCCUUUUCUCAGAUCACCUCCUUUCUCUCCACUCUUUUCAUUUCACCCAUGCUAUUAUUAUGUUUCUCAAAUUGUCCCAGCUUGGGCAUUGAGAGCUAUCAUAGGUUAGCUUUUAGGUCCUUUUAACAAAUCCUUAUCAUAGUUUCUAAAGGACUUCCUUACUUUUGACACACAAGAUGCUCCAGGCUCCUUGUAUUUUCUGUGUCUAAGCCCUGGAAUCAGACAUCUUUCCAAGGAGCCCUAGUUCCUUCUAUUGGAGAAACCAAGAUCUGAGCUCUAGGUAUGCUGAUUGGUACUGGGUGAAACUUUUUAGAUGCUGUCUGCCUACAUAUCUAAGAAAUAGAUGUAUGUGUACCAGUCCAUGCUAAUCAUCUGCCUCACAGUAUCCAUAUUUCUGUAUUGAUCUGUAUACAUAUAAAUCUGUAUACAGAUGUGUUACAUACACAUGACUACAUAUUUGAAAAUGAAUGAGCUAACAUUGAUAUCUUUCCCAUCCACCCACCCCUUCCUUAUUUUUAACUUCAUCCAUACACUGAAAUACCUGGUUAUCAUUAUCUAUGACAUGUGUAUUCUUUUUGACCUUGUGUACAUGGAAAGUAGUUUCAGAAUUGCUAACCCCUGUGAGAAUUUACCAGCCAGAGUGUUUAUGUACAGUUCUUUUUGUUUUCAGUCUUAAUGUAUCCAGUCAAAAUGUAGUUCUACGGAAUUAUUUAGGUCAGCUCAUUUCCCCCCAUUUUUUAAAGCCUCUGCAUUUGGCUUGGUCAUGAUCCCAGUGUCCUGGGAUCAAGCCCCACAUUGGGCUUUCUGCUCCACGGGGAGCCUGCUUCCUCCUCCCUCUCUCUGCCUGCCUCCCUCUCUGCUUACUUGUGAUCUCUGUCAAAUAAAUAAAUAAAAUCUUUAAAAGUAAAUAUAAAUAAAAAUUUUAAAAAAAUAUUUUUCCUAUGGUAGUGUGAGACAUUAAUUCAUUCCUUUUUUAAAAUUACUGAAUAGUGGGGCGCCUGGGUGGCUCAGUGGGUUAAGCAGCUGCCUUCAGCUCAGGUCAUGAUCUCAGGGCCUGGGAUCCAGUCCCACAUUGGGCUUUCUGCUCAGCAGGGGGCCAGCUUCCCUUCCUCUCUCUCUGCCUGCUGUGAUCUCUCUCUGUCAAAUAAAUAAAUAAAAUCUUUAAAAAUAUAUAAAAAUAAAAUAAAAUUACUGAAUAGUAUUCCACUUAUAGAUGUCCCACAGUUUAUUCACCUAUUAAAGGAUAUUUGAGUUUUUACCUGUUCUGGUGAUUAUUAAUAGGUACUAAACGUUUGUGUUGGGCGCCAGGGUGGCUCAGUCAGUUAAGUGUUUACUUUCGGCUCAGGUCAUGAUCCCAGUGUCCUGGAAUGGAGUCCUACGUGGAGCCUGCUCCUCCCUCUAAUUUUGCUCGGACUUCUGUUUGCCCGGAGCCCUGUUUGCGCUCGCUCACUCACUCUCUCUCAAAUAAGUAAAUAAAUCUUUAAAAAAAAGAAAACAAAAAAACAAUUUGUGUUAAGGCUUUUGUGUUGACUUAGUUUUCGAUUUACUUAGGUAAAUACAUAGGAGUAGGAUCACUAGGUUGCGUGUUAAGUACAUGUUUACAUUUAUAAGAAAUUGUAAAACAGUUUUCCAAAAUGUUUGUAUUAUUUUGCAUUCACACCAGUAAUGAAUAAGAAGGGUUUGUUUGUUUGUUUAGAUUAUUUGAGAGCGAGAACGUGUACAUCAGCCCGAGUAGUGGGGAGGCAGAGGGAGAAGCAGACUCCCUGCUAACCAGGGAGCCUGACAUGCGGUUCGAUCCCAGGACUCUGAGAUCCCUACCUGAGCCAAAGGCAGGUGUUUGACCAAUUGAGCCACCCAGGUGUCCCGAUGAACGAGAGUUCUUGUUUCUCGAAUCCACAGUGGUAUUUUGUAUUUCUAGUAUGUAAGCGAGCCUUUCUACCUAGAUUUUACAUUUUUGCCUCCUUUGGUCGCUUGGCGUUCAGAAAGCAAAGUGUCUGUGAGACUAUUUCUUUGAGGCACUGAAAAAAACCGGUGCUGCAUACAGAAGCAACAACCCCCCUGCCACUGUCUCCGAAUUGCUGAAGAGAGAACGUUUCCGAAAUUCUCCAGUCCCGGGCAAGCACAGUUACGGGAAUGAAGUCCGGAAGUUUGUGAGCCCGCAGCCCGCGGUUAUGGGAGUUAGUAGCCUGCGGCUCUUUCUGCGCAUGCACAAUACCUAGCAGGUGCUUCCCAAUGUUCCGGCUUUCUGUGGGAGACGAUCCGGGACCUCCAGGCUUCUGGCGGUCUGCUUGCCGUUCUCGGAGCUGGUGCAGCCGGAGCGGGAUGGUGGCGAGGCGAGAAGGAUGGGGAGAUCCGAGGGGGUCUCUGGGUGGCGCCAAGACGCUGUUGUGGGCGACGGUGCCCGGCUGUAGGGAAGAGGCCUGCGGACCCCGGCGGGACCCUUGGCUGUUCUUCCGGAGAGCUGGGUACGAGGAGGCCUCGGUCGGAUGGAGGGAUCACGAGACGGGAGACUCUUUACUACGGGAAAGAUUCUCAAGGUAGGAGAGUUCUUUAUGGCAUGUAGGCACAUGAUGGGAUGCCGGUAACUUAUCACACUGGUGAGGAAUGUCUGUCAUGCUUUCUCCUUCAACCAAGUACAAAGGCAUCCUUAUCAUUUGUGGAUAUGACUGUGGGCUUUACCCAGGAGGAGUGGCAGCACCUGGACCCUGCUCAGAGGACCCUGUAACAGGGAGGUGAUGCUGGAGAACUAUAGCCACCUUGUCUCAGUGGGUAAGAUCUGAAGGAGUCAAUCUGUUUCUUCGGUGGCUUCAAGCACUUCAGACAAACUUUGCAGAAGAGCAGGUGCUGAUUUUUGCUUGCCUCAUGCCUGGUUUCCCAGCGAUCAUGUCAUCCAGAGGGACCUGCAUGGUGGAGACACUCAUCAGUCCUAGCCCUGGUGUGGCAGAUGACAUCCCCCAUUUGAGACCAGCCCCAGUGUAUGUACAUUACUACAACUCAAGACAAUGAAAACAUUUAUAGUAUAAAAAUUCCAUACAUGGCAGUUCACAUUGUUUUUAUUAAAUGGAUUAUAAAUUUCUUUUUGGAAAAAAAGUAUCUAGCUAUAAUCCAAAACACUCAAAAUCGAGUUGCUGUACUGCCCCAAAUCAUACAGGAAUGAAAAGGACUCGUCAUUCCCCGGCAAAUCUGAAGAAAGCAGUGAGAGCAAGAGUAAGGGAGAAAGAGAGUGAGAGGAGCAUCUGAUGGGAUAGGAUUUCUUACAAAAGGAGUCUUGAAAUGACCAGAGAAAACAGACCAACAGAAAAGGGCAGACUUUGACCAAGCGGUGCUCAACGACGUGAAUAUCCACAUGGAACAUAAGAGGUUUUAACGCUAUUCCCUACUGAUGGAGCCUACAUACUAAAGAGGACAUCAGAAGUUUUCUGGAAGAUAGAAUAGAAAACCAUUUUGAGGAACUGGGGGAGGUGGCAGAGAUGAGUGGAACAGAAUACCAAAAACAGGAAGCCCAAGGAAGCUUGGGUGCCGCUUCCAGUCGGCGACGAGAGAAGAAUUAGGCACGAACCAGUCAUCUGCAAAAGACGGGGAGCAGGGGACGACAGUCCACAAGGACAGCUGCCAGGAACACUCCACAGUCUCACUUUUAUUGGAUAGAAAACAAUAGCCAAUAGAAGGAUUGAGGAAGGUCAAAUGUUAAUCCCGUCUUGCUGAGAAGCAAGAAGGAGGAUAAAGUUUAUAGUUAAACAAGCACAUUGAAAGAACUCUUCUAACUAACAACGGGCACUUCUGGGAAGAGAAAGGCUGGAUAACGGAUAAGGGAGGCAGGCGGUUUUCAUUCCACCCUGAGUUGACCUGGCGUUCCCGGGUGCUCCGCUUUCCUGAAGCAGGCGGCAUUCCGCCCUGGGCCGGCCGGGCUUCCAGCCAGCGCAGCUUCUGUGAAGGGGGUGGCGUUCCGCCCUGAGCGAGCUGGGCAUCCCCAGAUACCCAGCUUCACAGUCAUAUAUCCUCCUUUUCCCCAAAGACCUGUUGCCAGUGUAUGUAUUUCUAGAGGUCAUAUGUAAAUGUGCUUGGUAACUAGUAAAAUCCUCCAGGGGUUACAGUUUAAGUAACAAAUUGUUCUGAGGGGCAGCAGCAGUUGGGAAGUUGGACUCUACUCAUUCCAAGGUUCCAAACAAAAAAUCUUGCCCAACAAAUGACAAGACUAAAAGUAUGAAAGGCUCUAUGGAGAUACCAGAUAAGGAACUGUAUACAACUCUAGAUAGGAGAACCUAGGAAACAAGAAGGAUAGAUAGGUAACUUCAAAACAAUGAAAAUCCUAGAGCAGAAAUAUCCCAAGGAGAAAACCAUCGGCCAAGAAACAUGAAAAGAUUCCUGAAAUCCUCAGUGAUCACAGAACAACAAAGGAAAACACAAUGUGUUAGUGUUAACCCAAGGAGGGAGACCCCAAAGAGUGUUGCUUAAUCCAAUGGAUUGAAUCAUGAAAAACGGAUUUAAUCAUGGAGUGGGGCACCUGGGUGGCUGCUUUCUGCUGGGAUCCUGAUGCCAGGGUCUUGGGCUCCAGACCUUCCUGGGGCUCUGUGCUCAGCAGGAAGCCUGCUUCUCCCUCUCCCACUUCCAUGGCUUCUACUCCUCAAAUUGGGCUCCCUCUCUCACUGUCUCUGUCUUUCUGUCCAGUUCAUCAAUCAAUCAAACAAUUCCUUCAGUUCAAGAAGUAAAAAUCAAAUGUUGAUGCAUGGGGCCCUAAAGAACGACAAGAAUAUGGAGGGUUGUUUGAUGAUUUUUUUAAGAUUUUCUUUCUUCCUUUGACAGAGAGGAGAAGGAGGGAGAGAGACAGGCAGAGAGAGAGGUGUAAACGGGCUUCCUGCUAAGGAAAGAGCCAGAUGCAGGGCAUGGUGUGCAGGCUGCUGCCUCGACAAGUCCACCGUGAAGCCCUGCAGCAGCUCCAGCAGUCCCAAGCGGAUCUCAGGAGCGCGCUCAGAGGGCGCUGGAGGCGUUCAAGGAGGCUUGCCCCAAGGCUCCCUGGGCUCAGCUGCUCCCUGCUGCUCCCUGCCAUGGUAGCACCCAGGGCGGCGGGGGCAAAGGCGGCAUCCGCGGAGGGAGCCCGGACCUGGGAGGGCGGGCAGCACCUCGGGCACCUCCCGCUCGCCCUGGGGCCUGUCACUUCUCUCCCCACCCCUCCCACUCUCAACCAUUGUUCCCUUCUGUGAAGGGUUUUCAUACUU